Molecule: long non-coding RNA, 498 nt
Filed under: Bos taurus (domestic cattle)
Lineage: Eukaryota; Metazoa; Chordata; Mammalia; Artiodactyla; Bovidae
Description: long non-coding RNA NONBTAT014919
Source: RNAcentral
CACCUUCACACUCACUUCUCUGUUAUUCAAGUCUUCAGACCUCACUAAUCUCUGACUCGUCAGUGUCUCUUUGUCAGCUUUCUUUUCUAUCUCUUUCUUAAUCAUUUGUUACAGACUUUCUCACUAUGUACAAGUUUUUUGAGUGCUUCUGCUCACCCUUUAGUAACUAUUCAUCAAAGCUUGAAGUUUCAGGAAGGUCUUAAAUGAGACUUACUCAUACCACUCCUGCCUAUAGGUAGAUGAUGGUACCUCAUGUUGGUAAUUCAGGCUGUUCUUUCACUGUGCAUAUCUUAACAGGCCUAGAAGUCACAGCUCAUCUUAAUACCAUGACAAAUACCAAAUGCAGCAAGUUGCUUUUAUAGGAAAACUUCAGUCAUUAAAAGGGCCUUGAAUUUGUAAGUGUCGUGUCCCAAGUUAACACAGGAUGCUCCCGGCUUACCUUCAGCUGCUGCUUGUCUGGACUGCUGUAUUCUCCUUGUACUAACUUGGCUUUGACCU